Molecule: ribosomal RNA, 334 nt
Filed under: uncultured Pseudomonadota bacterium
Lineage: Bacteria; Pseudomonadati; Pseudomonadota
Description: bacterial SSU rRNA
Rfam family: Bacterial small subunit ribosomal RNA
Source: RNAcentral
AGCGAACGCUGGCGGCGUGCCUAACACAUGCAAGUCGAACGUGAAUGUAGCAAUACUAGUAAAGUGGCGUACGGGUGAGUAACACGUAGGUAAUCUACCCUAGAGUCUGGAAUAACCUGCCGAAAGGCGGGCUAAUACUGGAUAGAGCGACGGAAUCCGUAAUUGGGUUUUUCGGGAAAGGGAGCUCGCAAGAGCCCUCGCUUUAGGAUGAGCCUGCGUCCCAUUAGCUAGUUGGUGGGGUAAUGGCCUACCAAGGCAGUGAUGGGUAGCUGGUCUGAGAGGAUGAUCAGCCACACUGGAACUGAAACACGGUCCAGACUCCUACGGGAGGCAG